GGGGCUGUCCCGGUUUUGACAGCAUAGAUCUUUGAAAGUGUAAGCAUGCAGUGCUUUGGGUGAACGGCACUUUAAUCCAGAAUACUCAAACUAUAAAUGGCAAUACUCAGUAUGCCAUGGCUGCCUAAUCAGUGAUUAGUUAGUCAUUAGGGCCGCGGAUGCAGGUUGUUCUGUUACCAGGCUCCGCCGCCGACUCAACAAUAAAACAGAAUGCUGCUGCAGAAGGCUGUGACUACGGCUUAAGACCAUACAGCUAAGCACGGAAUUGGUUUGUUCAUUUCCUGUUUUGUGCCGACAAAUAAUAAUGAAAUAAGCAUGUAGAAAGCUUUCGGGGAAUAUGUUUGGACGCGGGUUCGAUUCCCGCCAGCUCCACCG
Molecule: transfer-messenger RNA, 375 nt
Filed under: Bacteroidota bacterium
Lineage: Bacteria; Pseudomonadati; Bacteroidota
Rfam family: transfer-messenger RNA
About the family: Bacterial tmRNA, also known as 10Sa RNA or SsrA, is named for its dual tRNA and mRNA-like properties. Its role is to liberate the mRNA from a stalled ribosome. To accomplish this part of the tmRNA is used as a reading frame that ends in a translation stop signal.
Source: RNAcentral